RNAcentral lists this ribosomal RNA (365 nucleotides) under Pyrgopsella annandalei. RNAcentral's name for it is "partial 12S ribosomal RNA". Lineage: Eukaryota; Metazoa; Arthropoda; Thecostraca; Balanomorpha; Pyrgomatidae. The record is from RNAcentral.
AUUAGAUACCCUGUUACUUAUAGCUAAGAAAUUUUGGAAUAGUAAUAAUUAUAAAAUUUAUCAGAUUUGGCGGCAAGAUAGCCUUUUAGAGGAACCUGCCCUGUAAACGAUGAACCACGAAAUACCUUGCUUUUAUUUGUUAUCAGUUUGUAUACCGCUGUUGUCAGUUAGUUUUUAUAAAAAACUUUCUUUAUGAUAAAGUCAUUUACUUCAAGUAAAGGUGCAGCUUAUGUAAAAGAUAGAGGUGGGUUACAUUUAUGAGAAUAAAACGAACAAUAUUUCUGAAAAUAAUUUUGAAGGCGGAUUUAAUUGUAAAGUUUAAAAAAACUUGAUUUGAGCUCUAUCUUGUGUACACACCGCCCGUC